Leptonychotes weddellii (Weddell seal) is the source of this 395-nucleotide non-coding RNA. The record is from RefSeq and is a predicted model, not a curated record. Lineage: Eukaryota; Metazoa; Chordata; Mammalia; Carnivora; Phocidae.
CCUCCAGAGUUUUCUUUAGCUUUGAUUUAACUCACCUUAGUGCAGGUGGUGGGUGAACAGACUUAGUAAUAAUAUGUAAAUUUUUUACUCUAAUGCUCCAUUUCUGAUGACUUAUUAAUGUAUUGCAAACUACGUUGUUUUGUAGGGACUCUGAUAGUAAAAUACUGCCGGCUGCAGCCCUUGCGCCCGAGCACUCAAAGGGUGCCUCUUCAAUCGCAAUCACUGCUCUUAUGGAGGAGAAGGGUUACCAGGUGCCUGUACUUGGAACCCCGUCUUUGCUUGGACAGUCACUAUUGCAUGGACAGUUGAUCCCCACAACUGGUCCAGUAAGAAUAAAUACUGCUCGUCCAGGUGGUGGUCGACCAGGUUGGGAACAGUAAGUAUAUGUUUAAAAA